This 253-nucleotide ribosomal RNA is filed under the name uncultured bacterium. Its description in RNAcentral is "partial 16S ribosomal RNA". It matches the Rfam family "Bacterial small subunit ribosomal RNA", at positions 524 to 776 of the family's 1533-position model. The record is from RNAcentral.
UACGUAGGGUGCGAGCGUUAAUCGGAAUUACUGGGCGUAAAGCGUGCGUAGGCGGUCCGCGAAGUCUGAUGUGAAAGCCCCGGGCUCAACCUGGGAACUGCAUUGGAAACUAACGGGCUCGAGUGUGGCAGAGGGGGGUGGAAUUCCACGUGUAGCAGUGAAAUGCGUAGAGAUGUGGAGGAACACCGAUGGCGAAGGCAGCCCCCUGGGCUAACACUGACGCUCAGGCACGGAAGCGUGGGGAGCAAACAGG